Molecule: ribosomal RNA, 420 nt
Filed under: uncultured bacterium
Lineage: Bacteria
Description: bacterial SSU rRNA
Rfam family: Bacterial small subunit ribosomal RNA
Source: RNAcentral
AACGAACGCUGGCGGCAGGCCUAACACAUGCAAGUCGAACGCCCUAGCAAUAGGGAGUGGCAGACGGGUGAGUAACACGUGGGAACCUUCCCUGUAGUACGGAAUAGCCCAGGGAAACUUGGAGUAAUACCGUAUACGCCCGAAAGGGGAAGAUUUAUCGCUAUAGGAUGGGCCCGCGUAGGAUUAGCUAGUUGGUGAGGUAAUGGCUCACCAAGGCGACGACCCUUAGCUGGUUUGAGAGAACGACCAGCCACACUGGGACUGAGACACGGCCCACGACUCCUACGGGAGGCAGCAGUGGGGAAGUAUUGGACAAUGGGCGCAAGCCUGAUCCAGCCAUGCCGCGUGAGUGAUGAAGGCCUUAGGGUUGUUAAAGCUCUUUUGGUCGGGGACGAUAAUGACGGUACCCGCAGAAUAAGU